CGUUAGGGAGCUGUCGAAGGUGGGAUCGGCGAUUGGGACGAAGUCGUAACAAGGUAGCCGUACCGGAAGGUGCGGCUGGAUCACCUCCUUUCUAAGGAGCA
Molecule: ribosomal RNA, 101 nt
Filed under: Corynebacterium striatum
Lineage: Bacteria; Bacillati; Actinomycetota; Actinomycetes; Mycobacteriales; Corynebacteriaceae
Description: partial 16S ribosomal RNA
Rfam family: Bacterial small subunit ribosomal RNA
Source: RNAcentral